Molecule: transfer RNA, 63 nt
Filed under: Rattus norvegicus (Norway rat)
Lineage: Eukaryota; Metazoa; Chordata; Mammalia; Rodentia; Muridae
Rfam family: tRNA
About the family: Transfer RNA (tRNA) molecules are approximately 80 nucleotides in length. Their secondary structure includes four short double-helical elements and three loops (D, anti-codon, and T loops).
Source: Rfam by way of RNAcentral
GGGGAUUUAGCUUAGUGGUAGAGCGCUUGCCUGGCAAGCGCAAGAUCCUGGAUUCAGUCCUCA